This 347-nucleotide ribosomal RNA is filed under the name uncultured bacterium. RNAcentral's name for it is "bacterial SSU rRNA". It matches the Rfam family "Bacterial small subunit ribosomal RNA", at positions 30 to 377 of the family's 1533-position model. The record is from RNAcentral.
AUUGAACGCUGGCGGCAUGCCUUACACAUGCAAGUCGAACGCGAAAGGGGGCGAACUCCCGACGUAGAGUGGCGAACGGGUGAGUAAUACAUCGGAACAUUUCCUGUAGCGGGGGAGUAACCUCGAGAAAUCGAGGCUAAUACCGCAUACGUCCUAAGGGAGAAAGCGGGGACCGCAAGGCCUCGCACUAUAGGAGUGGCCGAUGUCGGAUUAGCUAGUUGGCGGGGUAAAAGCCCACCAAGGCAACGAUCCGUAGCUGGUCUGAGAGGAUGAUCAGCCACACUGGGACUGAGACACGGCCCAGACUCCUACGGGAGGCAGCAGUGGGGAAUCUUGCGCAAUGGGCG